This 520-nucleotide ribosomal RNA is filed under the name uncultured Glomus. RNAcentral describes it as "SSU rRNA". It matches the Rfam family "Eukaryotic small subunit ribosomal RNA", at positions 569 to 1091 of the family's 1831-position model. The record is from RNAcentral. Lineage: Eukaryota; Fungi; Glomeromycota; Glomeromycetes; Glomerales; Glomeraceae.
AGCAGCCGCGGUAAUUCCAGCUCCAAUAGCGUAUAUUAAAGUUGUUGCAGUUAAAAAGCUCGUAGUUGAAUUUCGGGACCAAUAUGUCUGUCGUGCCUUCGGUACGUACGGGUAUAAUUGGUUUCUACCUUCUGAUGAACCUUGAUGCCAUUAAUUUGGUGUCUUGGGGACUCAGGACUGUUACCUUGAAAAAAUUAGAGUGUUUAAAGCAGGCAUAUGCUUGAAUACAUUAGCAUGGAAUAAUGAAAUAGGACGUUCGAUUCUAUUUUGUUGGUUUCUAGGAUCGACGUAAUGAUUAAUAGGGAUAGUUGGGGGCAUUAGUAUUCAAUUGUCAGAGGUGAAAUUCUUGGAUUUAUUGAAGACUAACUACUGCGAAAGCAUUUGCCAAGGAUGUUUUCAUUAAUCAAGAACGAAAGUUAGGGAUCGAAGACGAUCAGAUACCGUCGUAGUCUUAACCAUAAACUAUGACCGACUAGGGAUCGGAUGAUGUUAAUUUUUAAUGACUCAUUCGGCGCCUUAA